AAAAAAAAAAAAAACCCACAAUGAAAAUAACGCUGUGCUAUUGUCCUUUUAUCCUGAGAUCUGUUUACAGAGGAUCCCACAGCAGGACCUGCCUGGAUCAUCCCCUCCAUACGCAGCGUUUAUUUUUAACGCAGUGUUUUCCAUAUGCCAGGAAAAAAAUAUAUAUAUAUAUAUAUCGAUGCAUCCCGUUAUGCAAGCGUUGUUACCAGGCUGCAAAUUAUAUGCUGGGUUAUGAAAUAAAUAAAUAAGGCAAAAAUAAAAAAAAUUAAAAAAUCACCCAACCCACCCUAUUUCUGAAAAUAGACACAAGGGAGCUCUGACAGCAUCCAUCCCAUCAGCAGCGUGGAUUACAGCAUCCUGCAGCCCUGGUUUUCCAGAUGGAAUUAAGGAUUUUUGCCCAGCUCUGACUUGGAGCAGUUUAUUUUCUUCUUUAUUUCACUGGGGUGUUGAUUGGAGCCCAUAGGUGCGUGCUUUAUUUAAAAAUAUUUAUAUAGAAGAAAGCAGGAGGCGUCCGUCUGUCAGGGAAGCUCACGGACAUCAGCAAAGGGUGAGGGGAAUAUCUUCUGAAAUUAAAUACGCCCCUUAAUUCUGUGUAAGGUCAAACUUUCCCUCACAGAUUUCAUCUGCUUAAUGCGAGUGGCUGCACGCAGUGAUGCUGAGGAGACCUGAUCCCCUUUUCUCGACCCUGUUUUAAGAACAUCACGGAACCUCCUCAUUUUGUGGAGGGGGGGGGGAAGAAAAAAAUGGAAUAAAAAAUAAAAGGGGGUUAAAAAAUGAGCAAACGGAGGAUGUUUUCCUCACAGAAAGGGGAGGGGGAGGCAGGCGGCCGCGCGGCACAGCGCCGCCCGCGGUACUGCAGGGCCCCGCCCGCUGCUCGCUUCACAAAAUGGCGCCCGGCGGGGCCGCGCCGAGCGGUGCUGAGGCGACAAAAUGGCGGCGGGCGGGCAGCGAGGGAAGGGCCUCAGGGCCCCUCGUUCCCCUCCCGUCCCGUUUUGAGGUGUUUUUCCCCUCGUAGCGUGAAGAUUUUGGGGGGUUGCAGUCUUUGCUGUCCUCACCGCGUGGAAAAUGCCAAAAAAACCAAAACAAAACAACACCAAAAAAGCCCUGAACAGCCGAGGACUGAAGGAAGGAACUGCCUCCUCACAGCCACCAUUCUGGGAAAUGCAGGAUUGUUUGUGUAACUCCCACUCUGCAGCAGAUAGCUUCUCUAUCACCAUGACUUCAAAAUGCACAGUCCAAGCAGUGGGCAAGGAGAGCAGGUAUUGGCACCUCCUCAUUAGCCUUCAUCAAUGAGAAUAUUGGGCUUUGGUGUUGUGUGAGUGCCGCUGGCUGACCAGUGGAGGGGCCCUACCCUGCUAAGCUGGAGUAACACUUUCUGAGCAGUGAUUUCAUUGCCUGGUUGCUGCAGUGAUUUGGAGCACAGCUGUGACUUUAUGUUUUUCUGGCAAAAAUUUAGCUGAGGGUCACGAUACCCUGAUACCCCGUAGGAAUUGUGCUACUUUUCUCUGGCAGUUUGGGAUAACUGUUUCCUUGGGAGUGUUGGACUUCUAUCACUGCAUGCUUUGGAUUGAAGAGUUACCAGAAUGACAUCUGUGAGGUUUCCAAGCUAAACAAAACCUGAAUUUCUAGUGCAAAAAGCAAGUGAGUGAUAGAAACCUCUGCUCCUCUUCCUUAUGGGCGGAACUGCAGCCUUUUAAGCUUUCCUAUUACACCAAAGAGGUAGAAAAAGCAUAAGCGUGCAUUGUGAGUUCUGCAGUGCUAUUGGUGACGUAAAGUGAAAGCCAAAGCUAGCUAAGAAACUGUUCUCCUUUUCAAUACAGUAGGUCUCCAUGCACAAGUACUUUUCUUCUUUGCCUUUCCCUGAAGUGAGAGAGCAGUAGCACAAGUGUGCAUUCAGUCUGCUUCACUUAGAACACAGUGAUGCGACUUCAAUGCCAACAUGGUGAAUCAAAAGCACUGAAGAUAGCUGGCUUGCUAUUUAUUUUGCUCUGGGUGUGACAAUCAGAUGUGAUUGGGAAUGUGAAGAAGAGCAGCUUUCAACUCACAGGGUUGCACUGUUUUAAACCUUUGUCCUGGAACAUCUCCAGCCAGAUUUCUGUCAUUCCUGCUGGGCGUUGCAUGUGAGGCUUUUCAUGGAGAGGUAAUGCACUGCAACUGUGUGUUAAACAUGGCAACAUACAGGAUACAGAGUGAUCUCUCCAGUCCUAGGAGCCUGGAAGACAGAAGCCCUCUGCCUAGGGGAUGAAAUGCUUCACAUUUGGAAAAAACUAGCAGGUUUUCUUUUGUCUGCAGCUGUCUGUGACAGCUCCUUGACUGCGGAUGUCCUUCCAGCCAGGCUGCCUGCAGUGUGACAGCAGUGACCCUGCAUGAGGUUUCUUUGAAGGACGUGGGAGACCGUGUGGUUUUUUUUUUUAGUCCCUCAGAGGUGCUUCCCUGGCAGGGAGGGAGGAAAAUGUUUGGAAAUGCUGUCAUAGGAGGCAUGCUUACCUGGCUAGGGGAAAACUUGGUGUGGAAAAGCCAGCUGGCACACGGGUUGGGGAAGGAGAGGUUCCUUUCUCUCCAAAAUGGAAUCCCUUAAGGAAGGUACCAGUAGUUACUGCUCUUGGGGUUUCUGACCCAUUAAAUCAAAAAGCUGA
Molecule: non-coding RNA, 2636 nt
Organism: Phasianus colchicus (ring-necked pheasant)
Lineage: Eukaryota; Metazoa; Chordata; Aves; Galliformes; Phasianidae
Source: RefSeq, a predicted model, not a curated record